UUCCAGACUCCUACGGGAGGCAGCAGUGGGGAAUAUUGCACAAUGGGGGGAACCUUGAUGCAGCAACGCCGCGUGGGUGAAGAAGUACUCCGGUAUGUAAAGCCCUGUCAGCAGGGAAGAAAAUGACGGUACCUGACCAAGAAGCCCCGGCUAACUACGUGCCAGCAGCCGCGGUAAUACGUAGGGGGCGAGCGUUAUCCGGAUUCACUGGGUGUAAAGGGAGCGUAGACGGCCAUGCAAGCCAGGGGUGAAAGCCCGGGGCCCAACCCCGGGACUGCCCUUGGAACUGUGCGGCUAGAGUGCGGGAGGGGCAGGCGGAAUUCCUGGUGUAGCGGUGAAAUGCGUAGAUAUCAGGAGGAACACCGGCGGCGAAGGCGGCCUGCUGGACCGCGACUGACGUUGAGGCUCGAAAGCGUGGGGAGCGAACAGGAUUAGAUACCCCGGUACAG
RNAcentral lists this ribosomal RNA (449 nucleotides) under uncultured bacterium. RNAcentral's name for it is "bacterial SSU rRNA". It matches the Rfam family "Bacterial small subunit ribosomal RNA", at positions 329 to 793 of the family's 1533-position model. The record is from RNAcentral.